CCUACGGGCGGCAGCAGUGGGGAAUAUUGCACAAUGGGCGCAAGCCUGAUGCAGCCAUGCCGCGUGUGUGAAGAAGGCCUUAGGGUUGUAAAGCACUUUCAGCGAGGAGGAAGGGUUCAGUGUUAAUAGCACUGUGCAUUGACGCUACUCGCAGAAGAAGCACCGGCUAACUCCGUGCCAGCAGCCGCGGUAAUACGGAGGGUGCAAGCGUUAAUCGGAAUUACUGGGCGUAAAGCGGACGAAGGCGGUUUGUGAAGUCGGUAGUGAAAUCCCCGAUCUUAACUUGGGAACUGCAUUUGAAACAUGCAAGCUGGAGUCUCGUAGAGGGGGGUAGAAUUCCAGGUGUAGCGGUGAAAUGCGGAGAGAUCUGGAGGAAUACCGGUGGCGAAGGCGGCCCCCUGGACGAAGACUGACGCUCAGUUGCGAAAGCGUGGGGAGCAAACAGGAUUAGAUACCCGAGUAGUC
This 465-nucleotide ribosomal RNA is filed under the name uncultured Serratia sp. Its description in RNAcentral is "bacterial SSU rRNA". It matches the Rfam family "Bacterial small subunit ribosomal RNA", at positions 338 to 795 of the family's 1533-position model. The record is from RNAcentral. Lineage: Bacteria; Pseudomonadati; Pseudomonadota; Gammaproteobacteria; Enterobacterales; Yersiniaceae.